GAUGAAGAACGUAGUGAAAUGCGAUACGUAAUGUGAAUUGCAGAAUUCAGUGAAUCAUCGAAUCUUUGAACGCACAUUGCGCCCGCCAGUAUUCUGGCGGGCAUGCCUGUCUGAGCGUCAUUUCAACCCUCAUGCCCCUAGGGCGUGGUGUUGGGGAUCGGCCAAAGCCCGCGAGGGACGGCCGGCCCCUAAAUCUAGUGGCGGACCCGUCGUGGCCUCCUCUGCGAAGUAGUGAUAUUCCGCAUCGGAGAGCGAUGAGCCCCUGCCGUUAAACCCCCAACUUUCCAAGGUUGACCUCAGAUCAGGUAGGAAUACCCGCUGAACUUAAGCAUAUCAAUAAGCGGAGGA
RNAcentral lists this unclassified non-coding RNA (348 nucleotides) under soil metagenome. Its description in RNAcentral is "partial contains 5.8S ribosomal RNA, internal transcribed spacer 2, and large subunit ribosomal RNA". The stretch from base 1 to 120 matches the Rfam family "5.8S ribosomal RNA", at positions 35 to 154 of the family's 154-position model. The record is from RNAcentral.